RNAcentral lists this ribosomal RNA (597 nucleotides) under Triticum aestivum (bread wheat). RNAcentral's name for it is "partial small subunit ribosomal RNA". Lineage: Eukaryota; Viridiplantae; Streptophyta; Magnoliopsida; Poales; Poaceae. The record is from RNAcentral.
AUGCACCUGCGGUUCAGCAUAGACAUAAUCAAAGCUCGGCCAGCGGGAUGGAAGGGCAGGCUGAUCCACAUCGCGGGUCGGCGUGUGCUCAUCCGAUGCGUCCUCAGUGCCGUGCCCACCUACACGCUUACUGUACUGUGGGCGCCCAAGAAGCUCCUUAAAGAGAUCGACAAGUGCCGCCACCGAUUCCUUUGGAAACAAGAAGAAGAGGUUACCGGAGCUAGUUGCAAGGUGAAUUGGACAAUGGUCUGCUCGCCAACAGCAAAUGGAGGCCUGGGAAUCCCUGACCUCGAGCGCUUCGGCCGAGCCCUACGACUCCGCUGGCCAUGGCUCUCAUGGCGCCACCCAGAAAGGCCAUGGGUGGGCUCGGAGCUGCCCUGCAAUGUCGAGGACUACUCACUCUUCACGGCGGCUACCUCUGUCAGCAUUGGGGACGAUGCGUCGGCUUCCUUCUGGCACUCCCCAUGGCUCGAGCCGGGCACGCUCGCCCAUCAAUUCCCGUGGUUGGUCCAACAUGCGCGUAGAAAGAAUAGGACGGUGAAGGUUGCCCUCACGGACGACACAUGGAUCAAAGACCUAGCUCAUGGCCGCACCUAA